Molecule: ribosomal RNA, 257 nt
Filed under: uncultured bacterium
Lineage: Bacteria
Description: partial small subunit ribosomal RNA
Rfam family: Bacterial small subunit ribosomal RNA
Source: RNAcentral
AGGACAAACGCUGGCGGCGUACCUAAGACAUGCAAGUCGAACGGGACUUUCCGCUUCGGCGGGGAGUCGAGUGGCGGACGGGUGAGUAACGCGUAGGAACCUGUCGUUUAGUGGGGGAUAACGCUGGGAAACCGGCGCUAAUACCGCAUGAGGUCCUGGAAACGGGAAGAAAGCCGAAAGGCGCUGAAUGAGGGGCCUGCGUCCGAUUAGCUAGUUGGUGUGGUAAGAGCAUACCAAGGCGACGAUCGGUAGCUGGU